UACGAAGGGGGCUAGCGUUGCUCGGAAUCACUGGGCGUAAAGGGUGCGUAGGUGGUGAGGUAAGUCUGAUGUGAAAUCUCCGAGCUUAACUCGGAAAUGGCAUUGGAAACUACCUCGCUCGAGGAUUGGAGGGGGGACUGGAAUUCUCGGUGUAGCAGUGAAAUGCGUAGAUAUCGAGAGGAACACCAGUGGCGAAGGCGAGUCCCUGGACAAUACCUGACACUGAGGCACGAAAGCUAGGGGAGCAAACAGG
This 253-nucleotide ribosomal RNA is filed under the name uncultured prokaryote. Its description in RNAcentral is "partial 16S ribosomal RNA". It matches the Rfam family "Bacterial small subunit ribosomal RNA", at positions 524 to 776 of the family's 1533-position model. The record is from RNAcentral.